Molecule: non-coding RNA, 46 nt
Organism: Equus caballus (horse)
Lineage: Eukaryota; Metazoa; Chordata; Mammalia; Perissodactyla; Equidae
Source: Rfam
UCAACGGCUCUUCUUAGAGCCAUCAGAGAAUUGAGGUCACAGGGAA